RNAcentral lists this ribosomal RNA (1139 nucleotides) under Latilactobacillus sakei. RNAcentral's name for it is "bacterial SSU rRNA". It matches the Rfam family "Bacterial small subunit ribosomal RNA", at positions 85 to 1214 of the family's 1533-position model. Lineage: Bacteria; Bacillati; Bacillota; Bacilli; Lactobacillales; Lactobacillaceae. The record is from RNAcentral.
AUUUGAGUGAGUGGCGGACGGGUGAGUAACACGUGGGUAACCUGCCCUAAAGUGGGGGAUAACAUUUGGAAACAGAUGCUAAUACCGCAUAAAACCUAACACCGCAUGGUGUAGGGUUGAAAGAUGGUUUCGGCUAUCACUUUAGGAUGGACCCGCGGUGCAUUAGUUAGUUGGUGAGGUAAAGGCUCACCAAGACCGUGAUGCAUAGCCGACCUGAGAGGGUAAUCGGCCACACUGGGACUGAGACACGGCCCAGACUCCUACGGGAGGCAGCAGUAGGGAAUCUUCCACAAUGGACGAAAGUCUGAUGGAGCAACGCCGCGUGAGUGAAGAAGGUUUUCGGAUCGUAAAACUCUGUUGUUGGAGAAGAAUGUAUCUGAUAGUAACUGAUCAGGUAGUGACGGUAUCCAACCAGAAAGCCACGGCUAACUACGUGCCAGCAGCCGCGGUAAUACGUAGGUGGCAAGCGUUGUCCGGAUUUAUUGGGCGUAAAGCGAGCGCAGGCGGUUUCUUAAGUCUGAUGUGAAAGCCUUCGGCUCAACCGAAGAAGUGCAUCGGAAACUGGGAAACUUGAGUGCAGAAGAGGACAGUGGAACUCCAUGUGUAGCGGUGAAAUGCGUAGAUAUAUGGAAGAACACCAGUGGCGAAGGCGGCUGUCUGGUCUGUAACUGACGCUGAGGCUCGAAAGCAUGGGUAGCAAACAGGAUUAGAUACCCUGGUAGUCCAUGCCGUAAACGAUGAGUGCUAGGUGUUGGAGGGUUUCCGCCCUUCAGUGCCGCAGCUAACGCAUUAAGCACUCCGCCUGGGGAGUACGACCGCAAGGUUGAAACUCAAAGGAAUUGACGGGGGCCCGCACAAGCGGUGGAGCAUGUGGUUUAAUUCGAAGCAACGCGAAGAACCUUACCAGGUCUUGACAUCCUUUGACCACUCUAGAGAUAGAGCUUUCCCUUCGGGGACAAAGUGACAGGUGGUGCAUGGUUGUCGUCAGCUCGUGUCGUGAGAUGUUGGGUUAAGUCCCGCAACGAGCGCACCCUUAUUACUAGUUGCCAGCAUUUAGUUGGGCACUCUAGUGAAACUGCCGGUGACAAACCGAAGGAAGGUGGGGACGACGUCAAUCAUCAUGCCCCUUAUGACUGGGC